Molecule: ribosomal RNA, 843 nt
Filed under: uncultured Bacillota bacterium
Lineage: Bacteria; Bacillati; Bacillota
Description: bacterial SSU rRNA
Rfam family: Bacterial small subunit ribosomal RNA
Source: RNAcentral
GGAUCCAGACUUUGAUCAUGGCUCAGGAUAAACGCUGGCGGCGCACAUAAGACAUGCAAGUCGAACGAACUUAACCAUUAGUUUACUAUUGGAGCGGUUAGUGGCGGACUGGUGAGUAACACGUAAGCAACCUGCCUAUCAGAGGGGAACAACAGUUAGAAAUGACUGCUAAUACCGCAUAUGCCUUGAGUAUCACAUGGUACAAAAGGGAAAGGAGCAAUCCGCUGAUAGAUGGGCUUGCGUCUGAUUAGAUAGUUGGUGAGGUAACGGCCCACCAAGUCGACGAUCAGUAGCCGGACUGAGAGGUUGAACGGCCACAUUGGGACUGAGAUACGGCCCAGACUCCUACGGGAGGCAGCAGUCGGGAAUAUUGCGCAAUGGAGGAAACUCUGACGCAGUGACGCCGCGUGCAGGAAGAAGGUUUUCGGAUUGUAAACUGCUUUAGACAGGGAAGAAACAAGACAGUACCUGUAGAAUAAGCUCCGGCUAACUACGUGCCAGCAGCCGCGGUAAUACGUAGGGAGCAAGCGUUAUCCGGAUUUAUUGGGUGUAAAGGGUGCGUAGACGGGAAAUUAAGUUAGUUGUGAAAUCCCUCGGCUUAACUGAGGAACUGCAACUAAAACCGAUUUUCUUGAGUGCUGGAGAGGAAAGUGGAAUUCCUAGUGUAGCGGUGAAAUGCGUAGAUAUUAGGAGGAACACCAGUGGCGAAGGCGACUUUCUGGACAGUAACUGACGUUGAGGCACGAAAGUGUGGGGAGCAAACAGGAUUAGAUACCCUGGUAGUCCACACCGUAAACGAUGGAUACUAGGUGUAGGGUGUGAUAAACAUUCUGUGCCGUCGCA